This 589-nucleotide small RNA is filed under the name Arabidopsis thaliana (thale cress). RNAcentral's name for it is "ATSL198540". The record is from RNAcentral. Lineage: Eukaryota; Viridiplantae; Streptophyta; Magnoliopsida; Brassicales; Brassicaceae.
GGGAUUGCUCAUUUGCAUAGGGGAUAAUGAUGACUUCAAACCGUUAAGCAUGUUUUGAUUCAAUGAAGUAAGUUCAAUGCCCAGGUUGUUAGUUCUCUGUUGCAUAACCGAUUGUUUCUCUGAAGUAAGACCGCACCCUGCUUUGAAUUUACAACUUGACUAUACUGCUUUGAUUCGAAACUCGCUUAUCUUAUGCCAUUCCCUAUCUAUUAGAAGCUGAACUGAAUUUGCAAUUAUCAUGUCUAUGCAUUGUUUGUGAACUCAUGGCUAACAUAUACAUAUUUGGAUUAUCUUAUUUACUUCACCACCCCCUGUUAAUCCAAGUAGCUGACUCUCAUUUUUAGAGCAGUUUCCCAUACCCUGAGCCUAGCCUUAUUUCAAGCCAAAGAUAAUUUGUGUGUGAUUGUGAGGUCUUUUUCGAUUGAGCUUGGUAUAACGUGUUAGGUAUGAGCCGACAAGAGCAGUCAUUCAUGUAGACCUAGCCCACGCUUUUUGGGUUAGCUAGGACUAGGUGGAGACUUGUAUUUGGGAUUAGGAUUGUGUAUGGAUUGAAUGGGAAAGGGAAUAGGAAUGAAAAGAAAAGAAAAAA